AUUGAACGCUGGCGGAAUGCUUUACACAUGCAAGUCGAACGGCAGCACGGGGCAACCUGGUGGCGAGUGGCGAACGGGUGAGUAAUAUAUCGGAACGUGCCCAAUCGUGGGGGAUAACGUAGCGAAAGUUACGCUAAUACCGCAUACGAUCUACGGAUGAAAGCGGGGGAUCGCAAGACCUCGCGCGAAUGGAGCGGCCGAUAUCAGAUUAGGUAGUUGGUGGGGUAAAGGCUCACCAAGCCAACGAUCUGUAGCUGGUCUGAGAGGACGACCAGCCACACUGGAACUGAGACACGGUCCAGACUCCUACGGGAGGCAGCAGUGGGGAAUUUUGGACAAUGGGCGCAAGCCUGAUCCAGCCAUUCCGCGUGCAGGAUGAAGGCCUC
This 386-nucleotide ribosomal RNA is filed under the name uncultured bacterium. RNAcentral describes it as "bacterial SSU rRNA". It matches the Rfam family "Bacterial small subunit ribosomal RNA", at positions 30 to 418 of the family's 1533-position model. The record is from RNAcentral.